This 310-nucleotide ribosomal RNA is filed under the name Vibrio cholerae. RNAcentral's name for it is "partial 23S ribosomal RNA". It matches the Rfam family "Bacterial large subunit ribosomal RNA", at positions 1378 to 1688 of the family's 2925-position model. The record is from RNAcentral. Lineage: Bacteria; Pseudomonadati; Pseudomonadota; Gammaproteobacteria; Vibrionales; Vibrionaceae.
GGUGAGUCGACCCCUAAGGUGAGGCCGAAAGGCGUAAUCGAUGGGAAACGGGUUAAUAUUCCCGUACUUCUGACUAUUGCGAUGGGGGGACGGAGAAGGCUAGGUGAGCCAGGCGACGGUUGUCCUGGUUCAAGUGCGUAGGCUUGAGAGUUAGGUAAAUCCGGCUCUCUCUAAGGCUGAGACACGACGUCGAGCUGCUACGGUAGUGAAGUCAUUGAUGCCAUGCUUCCAGGAAAAGCCUCUAAGCUUCAGAUAGUCAGGAAUCGUACCCCAAACCGACACAGGUGGUCGGGUAGAGAAUACCAAGGCG